Non-coding RNA from Acanthosepion pharaonis, 114 nucleotides. The record is from the annotation of a GenBank genome assembly. Lineage: Eukaryota; Metazoa; Mollusca; Cephalopoda; Sepiida; Sepiidae.
UUACGACCAUAUCUCGUUGAAACACCGGUUCUCGUCUGAUCACCGAAGUUAAGCAAUAUCGAGCCUAGUCAGUCACCAAAUGGGUGACCGACUAAGAAUACGAAGUGCUGUAAG